This 497-nucleotide ribosomal RNA is filed under the name Fusarium acuminatum. RNAcentral describes it as "eukaryotic LSU rRNA". The stretch from base 170 to 323 matches the Rfam family "5.8S ribosomal RNA". The record is from RNAcentral. Lineage: Eukaryota; Fungi; Ascomycota; Sordariomycetes; Hypocreales; Nectriaceae.
CCUGCGGAGGGAUCAUUACCGAGUUUACAACUCCCAAACCCCUGUGAACAUACCUUAAUGUUGCCUCGGCGGAUCAGCCCGCGCCCCGUAAAACGGGACGGCCCGCCAGAGGACCCAAACUCUAAUGUUUCUUAUUGUAACUUCUGAGUAAAACAAACAAAUAAAUCAAAACUUUCAACAACGGAUCUCUUGGUUCUGGCAUCGAUGAAGAACGCAGCAAAAUGCGAUAAGUAAUGUGAAUUGCAGAAUUCAGUGAAUCAUCGAAUCUUUGAACGCACAUUGCGCCCGCUGGUAUUCCGGCGGGCAUGCCUGUUCGAGCGUCAUUUCAACCCUCAAGCCCCCGGGUUUGGUGUUGGGGAUCGGCUCUGCCCUUCUGGGCGGUGCCGCCCCCGAAAUACAUUGGCGGUCUCGCUGCAGCCUCCAUUGCGUAGUAGCUAACACCUCGCAACUGGAACGCGGCGCGGCCAUGCCGUAAAACCCCAACUUCUGAAUGUGAC